CCCUUAGAUGUUCUGGGCUGCACGCGCGCUACACUGAUGCAUGCAACGAGUUUUCGACCUUGCCUGAAAAGGUUGGGUAAUCUGUUUAACAUGUGUCGUGAUGGGGAUAGACCAUUGCAAUUAUUGAUCUUCAACGAGGAAUUCCUAGUAAGCGCGAGUCAUCAGCUCGCGCUGAUUACGUCCCUGCCCUUUGUACACACCGCCCGUCGCUACUACCGAUUGGAUGGUUUAGCGAGAACUUUGGACCGGAGCUCGGGUGGUCAGCAAUGGCCGCCCGAGACAUACUGGGAAAUCGCUCCAGCUUGAUCAUCUAGAGGAAGUAAAAGUCGUAACA
This 334-nucleotide ribosomal RNA is filed under the name uncultured eukaryote. Its description in RNAcentral is "partial 18S ribosomal RNA". It matches the Rfam family "Eukaryotic small subunit ribosomal RNA", at positions 1470 to 1796 of the family's 1831-position model. The record is from RNAcentral.